Molecule: transfer RNA, 29 nt
Filed under: Schistidium apocarpum
Lineage: Eukaryota; Viridiplantae; Streptophyta; Bryopsida; Grimmiales; Grimmiaceae
Description: partial tRNA-Thr
Source: RNAcentral
UGCGAUGGUCAUCGGUUCGACUCCGAUAG